This 373-nucleotide ribosomal RNA is filed under the name uncultured bacterium. RNAcentral describes it as "bacterial SSU rRNA". It matches the Rfam family "Bacterial small subunit ribosomal RNA", at positions 523 to 898 of the family's 1533-position model. The record is from RNAcentral.
AGACGGAGGGUGCAAGCGUUAUCCGGAUUCACUGGGUUUAAAGGGUGCGUAGGUGGACAGGUAAGUCAGUGGUGAAAUCUCCAAGCUUAACUUGGAAACUGCCGUUGAUACUAUCUGUCUUGAAUAUCGUGGAGGUAAGCGGAAUAUGUCAUGUAGCGGUGAAAUGCUUAGAUAUGACAUAGAACACCGAUUGCGAAGGCAGCUUACUACACGAUCAUUGACACUGAGGCACGAAAGCGUGGGGAGCAAACAGGAUUAGAUACCCUGGUAGUCCACGCCCUAAACUAUGAUUACUCGACAUCAGCGAUACACUGUUGGUGUCUGAGCGAAAGCAUUAAGUAAUCCACCUGGGAAGUACGAUCGCAAGAUUGAA